GGAAUUAGGGUUCGGUUCCGGAGAGGGAGCCUGAGAGAGGCUACUACAUCCAAGGAAGGCAGCAGGCGCGCAAAUUACCCAAUCCCGACUCGGGGAGGUAGUGACAAUAAAUAACAAUGCUGGGCUAUCGUAGUCCGGCAAUUGGAAUGAGAACAAUUUAAAUCCCUUAACGAGGAACAAUUGGAGGGCAAGUCUGGUGCCAGCAGCCGCGGUAAUUCCAGCUCCAAUAGCGUAUAUUAAAGUUGUUGCAGUUAAAAAGCUCGUAGUUGGAUUUCGGGGCGGCCCGACUGGUCCGCCGCGAGGUGAGCACUGGUCGGCCGCUCUUCCUCUCGGAAGCCCCGACUGCUCUUCGUUGCAGUGGUCGGGGAGUUCGGGACGUUUACUUUGAAAAAAUUAGAGUGUUCAAGGCAGGCCGUCGCCUGAAUACAUUAGCAUGGAAUAAUGGAAGAGGACCUCGGUCCCGUUUUGUUGGUUUCUUGGACCGAAGUAAUGAUUAAGAGGGACAGUUGGGGGCAUUCGUAUUUAAUUGUCAGAGGUGAAAUUCUCGGAUUUAUGAAAGACGAACGACUGCGAAAGCAUUUGCCAAGGAUGUUUUCAUUAAUCAAGAACGAAAGUUAGGGGUUCGAAGACGAUCAGAUACCGUCGUAGUCCUAACCAUAAACUAUGCCGACUAGGGAUCGGUGGAUGUUAGCG
RNAcentral lists this ribosomal RNA (693 nucleotides) under Mycale laevis. Its description in RNAcentral is "SSU rRNA". It matches the Rfam family "Eukaryotic small subunit ribosomal RNA", at positions 366 to 1068 of the family's 1831-position model. Lineage: Eukaryota; Metazoa; Porifera; Demospongiae; Poecilosclerida; Mycalidae. The record is from RNAcentral.